AGGGUUUGAUCAUGGCUCAGAUUGAACGCUGGCGGUAAGCCUUAAACAUGCAAGUCGUGCGGUAACAGACAUAAAGAUUUAGCUUGCUAAAUCCGGUGCUGACGAGCGGCGAACGGGUGAGUAACACGUAGGAAUCUACCCAGUAGCGGGGGAUAGCCCAGGGAAACUUGGAUUAAUACCGCAUAAGCCCUAUGGGGGAAAGAAGGCCUCUCUUUGAAGCUUUCACUAUUGGAUGAGCCUGCGUAAGAUUAGCUUGUWGGUGGGGUAAAAGCCUACCAAGGCAACGAUCUUUAGCUGGUCUGAGAGGACGAUCAGCCACAUUGGGACUGAGACACGGCCCAGACUUCUACGGAAGGCAGCAGUUAGGAAUAUUGGACAACGGGGGCAACCCUGAUCCAGCUAUACCGCGUGUGUGAAGAAGGCCCUAGGGUUGUAAAGCACUUUAAGCAGGGAAGAAGUAUAGUAAGUUAAUAUCUUACUAUAUUGACGUUACCUGAAGAAUAAGGACCGGCUAACUCCGUGCCAGCAGCCGCGGUAAUACGGAGGGUCCAAGCGUUAAUCGGAAUUACUGGGCGUAAAGCGCGCGUAGGCGGUUUAAUAAGUUGUAUGUGAAAGCCCUGGGCUCAACCUAGGAACUGCAUAC
Molecule: ribosomal RNA, 643 nt
Filed under: uncultured bacterium
Lineage: Bacteria
Description: bacterial SSU rRNA
Rfam family: Bacterial small subunit ribosomal RNA
Source: RNAcentral